AUCUUGGACAAUGGGGGAAACCCUGAUCCAGCCAUGCCGCGUGAGUGAUGAAGGCCUUCGGGUUGUAAAGCUCUUUUGUCCGGAAAGAAAAGCUUUCGGUUAAUACCCGGAAGUCAUGACGGUACCGGAAGAAUAAGCCCCGGCUAACUUCGUGCCAGCAGCCGCGGUAAUACGAAGGGUGCAAGCGUUACUCGGAAUUACUGGGCGUAAAGCGUGCGUAGGUGGUUCGUUAAGUCUGAUGUGAAAGCCCUGGGCUCAACCUGGGAAUUGCAUUGGAUACUGGCGGGCUAGAGUGCGGUAGAGGAUGGCGGAAUUCCCGGUGUAGCAGUGAAAUGCGUAGAUAUCGGGAGGAACAUCCGUGGCGAAGGCGACUACCUGGACCAGCACUGACACUGAGGCACGAAAGCGUGGGGAGCAAACAGG
RNAcentral lists this ribosomal RNA (423 nucleotides) under uncultured bacterium. RNAcentral's name for it is "bacterial SSU rRNA". It matches the Rfam family "Bacterial small subunit ribosomal RNA", at positions 361 to 776 of the family's 1533-position model. The record is from RNAcentral.